RNAcentral lists this ribosomal RNA (478 nucleotides) under uncultured bacterium. Its description in RNAcentral is "bacterial SSU rRNA". It matches the Rfam family "Bacterial small subunit ribosomal RNA", at positions 330 to 800 of the family's 1533-position model. The record is from RNAcentral.
UGCGAACUCCUACGGGAGGCAGCAGUGGGGAAUCUUCCGCAAUGGACGAAAGUCUGACGGAGCAACGCCGCGUGAGUGAUGACGGCCUUCGGGUUGUAAAGCUCUGUUAAUCGGGACGAAUGGUUCUUGUGCGAAUAGUGCGAGGAUUUGACGGUACCGGAAUAGAAAGCCACGGCUAACUACGUGCCAGCAGCCGCGGUAAUACGUAGGUGGCAAGCGUUGUCCGGAAUUAUUGGGCGUAAAGCGCGCGCAGGCGGAUUGGUCAGUCUGUCUUAAAAGUUCGGGGCUUAACCCCGUGAUGGGAUGGAAACUGCCAAUCUAGAGUAUCGGAGAGGAAAGUGGAAUUCCUAGUGUAGCGGUGAAAUGCGUAGAUAUUAGGAAGAACACCAGUGGCGAAGGCGACUUUCUGGACGAAAACUGACGCUGAGGCGCGAAAGCCAGGGGAGCGAACGGGAUUAGAUACCCUUGUAGUCCUAUC